GCAUCAAUCGUCAGAUGAUCUUGAUAACCACACGAGGCACCUCAGGCUCUAUAAAUGUACUGCAAGUGGGGUUCGGUCAGAGGUGAGAUGCGUAUGGAGAUGUGGGCCAAAGGGGGUUCGGUCGGAGGUGAGAUGCACAAAGGCGACGUCGGCUGAAGGGGACAUGCACGGACAUCUCUGGAGAGAGGAGGGAUGCGUGAAGGUCGAUCAAGAGAGCGC
This 219-nucleotide long non-coding RNA is filed under the name Elaeis guineensis (African oil palm). Its description in RNAcentral is "long non-coding RNA (EGUI_LNC081678)". Lineage: Eukaryota; Viridiplantae; Streptophyta; Magnoliopsida; Arecales; Arecaceae. The record is from RNAcentral.